AGUCAUCAACCCCUUCACUUUUUGUGCCAAGGGCCGUUGGACUUGGGGGCCGUGCCGCCGCGAGGUGGCUCCCCUUAAAUGCGUCGGUUGGGCCUCGGGUCAAUAAUCGUCUGGGCGUUGUACCAUCCUCGCUCACCCGUCGACCGCGGGCGCCUUCCCACCGACCGCCCCCCUCGGAGUGGCGGUCAAAACCUUUUUGAAAU
Molecule: unclassified non-coding RNA, 203 nt
Filed under: uncultured Hydnodontaceae
Lineage: Eukaryota; Fungi; Basidiomycota; Agaricomycetes; Trechisporales; Hydnodontaceae
Description: sequence contains ITS2
Source: RNAcentral